RNAcentral lists this ribosomal RNA (366 nucleotides) under Chaetodon vagabundus (vagabond butterflyfish). RNAcentral's name for it is "partial 12S ribosomal RNA". It matches the Rfam family "Bacterial small subunit ribosomal RNA", at positions 803 to 1372 of the family's 1533-position model. Lineage: Eukaryota; Metazoa; Chordata; Actinopteri; Chaetodontiformes; Chaetodontidae. The record is from RNAcentral.
UAAACAUUGACAGUUAAUUACACCCACUGUCCGCCUGGGAACUACGAGCAUUAGCUUAAAACCCAAAGGACUUGGCGGUGCUUAACAUCCACCUAGAGGAGCCUGUUCUAGAACCGAUAAUCCCCGUUAAACCUCACCCUUUCUUGUUUUUCCCGCCUAUAUACCACCGUCGUCAGCUUACCCUGUGAAGGACCCAUAGUAAGCACAAUUGGUAAAGCCCAAAACGUCAGGUCGAGGUGUAGCUAAUGGAAGGGGAAGAAAUGGGCUACAUUUACUAACCAGUAAAUACGGACAAUGUCCCUGAAACGACAUUCUGAAGGAGGAUUUAGCAGUAAGCGGAAAACAGAGCGUUCUGCUGAAAUUGGC